GACGAACGCUGGCGGCGUGCUUAACACAUGCAAGUCGAACGGAAAGGCCCUGCUUUUGUGGGGUGCUCGAGUGGCGAACGGGUGAGUAACACGUGAGUAACCUGCCCUUGACUUUGGGAUAACUUCAGGAAACUGGGGCUAAUACCGGAUAGGAGCUCCUGCUGCAUGGUGGGGGUUGGAAAGUUUCGGCGGUUGGGGAUGGACUCGCGGCUUAUCAGCUUGUUGGUGGGGUAGUGGCUUACCAAGGCUUUGACGGGUAGCCGGCCUGGGAGGGUGACCGGCAACAUUGGGACUGAGAUACGGCCCGGACUCCUACGGGAGGCAGCAGUGGGGAAUAUUGCACAAUGGGCGGAAGCCUGAUGCAGCAACGCCGCGUGCGGGAGGACGGCCUUCGGGUGUUAAACCGCUUUCGCCGGUGACGAAGCGUGAGUGACGGUAAUGGGUAAAGAAGCACCGGCUAACUACGUG
RNAcentral lists this ribosomal RNA (468 nucleotides) under uncultured bacterium. Its description in RNAcentral is "partial 16S ribosomal RNA". It matches the Rfam family "Bacterial small subunit ribosomal RNA", at positions 28 to 507 of the family's 1533-position model. The record is from RNAcentral.